GAACGAGGCCGGAGCCAACAGCUCCACCACACACCUGCUGGUCGUGGACGAACCAUACAUUCGACUCUUCCCGAAGAUCUCUUCUGAACUCACUAACCGCGGCCUGUCCAUCGAGGUGAACGAAGGCGACGAUGUGGAUCUCAGGGUUUUGAUCGAAGCAUAUCCACCGCUGAUCUCACACCAGUGGGAGACUCCAACAUCCCACAAUGCCUCACUCCCAGAGAACAGGUUUUACAGCUAUAACGACAGGUACGAGGCGCUGCUGUUCCUCAAGAGACUGAACUUCCAGGAAACUGGCCGCUACACACUCCAUGUCAAGAGCAGCAUCAAAAAUGCCUCCAUUACUUUUGAUAUUAAAA
Molecule: long non-coding RNA, 359 nt
Organism: Sinocyclocheilus rhinocerous
Lineage: Eukaryota; Metazoa; Chordata; Actinopteri; Cypriniformes; Cyprinidae
Exons: 3
Source: RefSeq, a predicted model, not a curated record